This 778-nucleotide ribosomal RNA is filed under the name uncultured bacterium. RNAcentral describes it as "bacterial SSU rRNA". It matches the Rfam family "Bacterial small subunit ribosomal RNA", at positions 56 to 825 of the family's 1533-position model. The record is from RNAcentral.
AGCAGUCGAGCGAAUGGAUUAAGAGCUUGCUCUUAUGAAGUUAGCGGCGGACGGGUGAGUAACACGUGGGUAACCUGCCCAUAAGACUGGGAUAACUCCCCGAAACCGGGGCUAAUACCGGAUAACAAAUUGAACCGCAUGGUUCGUUUUUGAAAGGCGGCUUCGGCUGUCACUUAUGGAUGGACCCGCGUCAUUUUAGCUAGUUGGUGAGGUAACGGCUCACCAAGGCAACGAUGCGUAGCCGGCCUGAGAGGGUGAUCGGCCACACUGGGACUGAGACACGGCCCAGACUCCUACGGGAGGCAGCAGUAGGGAAUCUUCCGCAAUGGACGAAAGUCUGACGGAGCAACGCCGCGUGAGUGAUGAAGGCUUUCGGGUCGUAAAACUCUGUUGUUAGGGAAGAACAAGUGCUAGUUGAAUAAGCUGGCACCUUGACGGUACCUAACCAGAAAGCCACGGCUAACUACGUGCCAGCAGCCGCGGUAAUACGUAGGUGGCAAGCGUUAUCCGGAAUUAUUGGGCGUAAAGCGCGCGCAGGUGGUUUCUUAAGUCUGAUGUGAAAGCCCACGGCUCAACCGUGGAGGGUCAUUGGAAACUGGGAGACUUGAGUGCAGAAGAGGAAAGUGGAAUUCCAUGUGUAGCGGUGAAAUGCGUAGAGAUAUGGAGGAACACCAGUGGCGAAGGCGACUUUCUGGUCUGUAACUGACACUGAGGCGCGAAAGCGUGGGGAGCAAACAGGAUUAGAUACCUGGAAAAACCUUACCUACCCUUGACAUGG